UAGCCUGAAAUGAUGUUAUGAAUUCAUGUCUCUUCUCUGAGAUGUAUCAUGGAGACAAUUAGAUGCAUUUCUGAUCAGGCUU
Accipiter nisus (Eurasian sparrowhawk) is the source of this 82-nucleotide small nucleolar RNA. Lineage: Eukaryota; Metazoa; Chordata; Aves; Accipitriformes; Accipitridae. The record is from Ensembl.